Oreochromis aureus is the source of this 1891-nucleotide long non-coding RNA. NCBI's taxonomy places the organism in Eukaryota, Metazoa, Chordata, Actinopteri, Cichliformes, Cichlidae. The record is from Ensembl.
AAUACAUAAGUAUAUGUACUUGGGAAGCCCAGUUAAGAGAUUAUUGGGUGACUGAUGCUAUAAAACUGACCUAAAGAAUGGUCCUGUCCGUGGAGAAGUGUUAGUUGUCCUGAUGUUUGGAAGAGCUCUAUUUAAAAGUGUGUGUGAGAGGAAGGUGUGUGUGUGACUGAUGAUGUCAGGGGAGCACCCAGAGAAAUAGACAGAUGAGUUAAACUCUAAGAAGAUGAAGCGAAUGCAUGUUUUAAGAAAAAGUAAUAAAAAUCACACAUACAAACAGAAAAUGCACUAACCUUACAGAGACAAGCUCAUGAAGAUUAAUGAACAGAUAAUGACUUAAAACCUGGCUAAGAACACAAACAUACGUAAUUAAAUCAGCCUGCUAAUUUCAUGAGGGUUAAAAUGGUGUGAAUGGUUAAUACAAUUGAUGGAAAGAUUUAAAAUAGAUGGAAAAACAAAAGAAAAGUGUCUAUAAGAGUGACUCAGGAGUGCUCUUGCACUGAUUUAUCAAAGUAAGUGAUUAGUAUAGAAAGAAAAUGAAAAUAAUUCAAUGAUGUGAUAAGGUUUAAAAACAUGUAUUCCUCUUGUUAAGUUGGCUGUUGAGCUGUGGGUUUAUGCAAAUUAGCUGGAGUGAGUGAGUGACAAAGACACUUCCUGUGUGCGUGUGUGGCGGAGGCUUUCGGUUCAGUUCAAGAGAGAGCAGUGGCUGUUGAAGAGUAUUGGGAGAAAUAUAUAAUGGUAAAGUAUCAGGAUAUUUGAUUACGGUGGUCAGGUCUGUUCAGAGGGGCAGAUUUGGACAGGAAAUUUAUAAUUUAAGGAUGAUAUGUGGUUGAAAUUGGUUUUUAUCUUGUGCUGAAUGAAAACGGUCUUUGAUCUUUUGACGAGGUUUUCGGUGUGUUGAACGGGUGAAAUUUAAGAUUGUUUCAGAUUUUGAGGCUGUUGUUUUAUUUCCAGAGAGGGUGUUUCAUUAAGGCAGGGAUAGGUCUGAGAGGGGCCCCAAAAAUUUUUUGUAGUAGUAAGUGCACUCAGGAAAAAACCUGUCAGGUGAUUUUGUUUGGUACUUUGAUGAGCUAAUAAUCAGCUCUCUUUUUUCAUUUUUGUUCUAAGCAGGCCUGGAAGAGAGUGAACGGACGGCGCUGACAAAAUUACCAAGUACGAAAAUCAGGUGGGCUUUACAGAAUUAUAAUUGAUUACAAUCAGAGACUGAUUGGCGGCAAGUCUCUGUCUAAAAAUGGAUUGAUCGAUUCAAUCCAGUCAAAAGUAUAGAGAACUAUUUUCCUAAAAAGGAAAACGAAAUAAAACAAAUGAUUGAACUGAUUUUGCUGAUGUGGAGCAUCUGAUGACGUGCGCGGAAGGCUGCAGAUCAGCAAAAAAAUAUCAUGUGUGAAUGCAUGGGAGUGAAUGUGAGUGGUUGGACCAAGGGGGGAAAUAAAUAAAAGGUUGACAAACAGGAGAAGUGGAAGACUUAAAUCUGGGGAUGCUGAUGUUCCUUUGAGUGAAUUUCUGCUUUGUUGAUUUGGGUUAGACCAUAUUAAUACAUUAUAAAAUGCUAAAAGGGAAACAUUGAUGUAACUCAAGUUACCAUUAACUGAGGUAACACAUGAUUAAUAACUGUUCUGUUCAAGUUUAUUUUUUGUUAUGACAUAGACGGGAUCAUAAGGGGAGAGUUGAGUAUGAAAUGUAAACUACAGGUUUUGUUUUCAGGAAAUUCCAAGGAUCCAGACCUUGCAUGGAGCAACGAGUUGGAGGAGAUUUGACAUGAUGAUUAAAUUGAUUUUGUUCCUUAAACACAGGUUUUCAGGGCUGAAGCAAAACACCGGAGAGGAGAAUUGCUGAGCGGUUCUGGGCAAUGAAAUGACUAACCUUUUUCCUUUUAAUUUGUUAAGCUUGGGUG